Molecule: ribosomal RNA, 491 nt
Filed under: uncultured bacterium
Lineage: Bacteria
Description: partial 16S ribosomal RNA
Rfam family: Bacterial small subunit ribosomal RNA
Source: RNAcentral
GUGAACGCUGGCGGUAGGCCUAACACCUGCCAGUCGAACGGCAGCACAGUAAGAGCUUGCUCUUACGGGUGGCGAGUGGCGGACGGGUGAGGAAUACAUCGGAAUCUACUUUUUCGUGGGGGAUAACGUAGGGAAACUUACGCUAAUACCGCAUACGACGUACGGGUGAAAGCAGGGGAUCUUCGGACCUUGCGCGAUUGAAUGAGCCGAUGUCGGAUUAGCUAGUUGGCGGGGUAGAGGCCCACCAAGGCGACGAUCCGUAGCUGGUCUGAGAGGAUGAUCAGCCACACUGGAACUGAGACACGGUCCAGACUCCUACGGGAGGCAGCAGUGGGGAAUAUUGGACAAUGGGCGCAAGCCUGAUCCAGCCAUACCGCGUGGGUGAAGAAGGCCUUCGGGUUGUAAAGCCCUUUUGUUGGGAAAGAAAAGCAGCAGGUUAAUACCCCGCUGUUCUGACGGUACCCAAAGAAUAAGCACCGGCUAACUUCGUG